UGGGGAAUAUUGGACAAUGGGCGAAAGCCUGAUCCAGCCAUGCCGCGUGUGUGAAGAAGGUCUUCGGAUUGUAAAGCACUUUAAGUUGGGAGGAAGGGCAGUAAGCGAAUACCUUGCUGUUUUGACGUUACCGACAGAAUAAGCACCGGCUAACUCUGUGCCCGCAGCCGCGGUAAUACAGAGGGUGCAAGCGUUAAUCGGAAUUACUGGGCGUAAAGCGCGCGUAGGUGGUUCGUUAAGUUGAAUGUGAAAGCCCCGGGCUCAACCUGGGAACUGCAUCCAAAACUGGCGAGCUAGAGUAGGGCAGAGGGUGGUGGAAUUUCCUGUGUAGCGGUGAAAUGAGUAGAUAUAGGAAGGAACACCAGUGGCGAAGGCGACCACCUGGGCUCAUACUGACACUGAGGUGCGAAAGCGUGGGGAGCAAACAGG
Molecule: ribosomal RNA, 429 nt
Filed under: Pseudomonadota bacterium
Lineage: Bacteria; Pseudomonadati; Pseudomonadota
Description: Proteobacteria bacterium partial 16S ribosomal RNA
Rfam family: Bacterial small subunit ribosomal RNA
Source: RNAcentral